Molecule: ribosomal RNA, 429 nt
Filed under: uncultured Paracoccaceae bacterium
Lineage: Bacteria; Pseudomonadati; Pseudomonadota; Alphaproteobacteria; Rhodobacterales; Paracoccaceae
Description: bacterial SSU rRNA
Rfam family: Bacterial small subunit ribosomal RNA
Source: RNAcentral
AACGAACGCUGGCGGCAGGCUUAACACAUGCAAGUCGAGCGCACCUUCGGGUGAGCGGCGGACGGGUGAGUAACGCGUGGGAACAUACCCUUUGGUAAGGAAUAGCCUCUGGAAACGGAGAGUAAUACCUUAUAAGCCCUUACGGGGAAAGAUUUAUCGCCAAAGGAUUGGCCCGCGUUGGAUUAGCUAGUUGGAGAGGUAACGGCUCACCAAGGCGACGAUCCAUAGCUGGUUUGAGAGGAUGAUCAGCCACACUGGGACUGAGACACGGCCCAGACUCCUACGGGAGGCAGCAGUGGGGAAUCUUGGACAAUGGGGGCAACCCUGAUCCAGCCAUGCCGCGUGAUCGAUGAAGGCCUUAGGGUUGUAAAGAUCUUUCAACGGUGACGAUAAUGACGGUAGCCGUAGAAGAAGUCCCGGCUAACUUCG